GACGAACGCUGGCGGCGUGCUUAACACAUGCAAGUCGAACGGAAAGGCCCUGCUUUUGUGGGGUGCUCGAGUGGCGAACGGGUGAGUAACACGUGAGUAACCUGCCCUUGACUUUGUGAUAACUUCAGGAAACUGGGGCUAAUACCGGAUAGGAGCUCCUGCUGCAUGGUGGGGGUUGGAAAGUUUCGGCGGUUGGGGAUGGACUCGCGGGUUAUCAGCUUGUUGGUGGGGUAGUGGCUUACCAAGGCUUUGACGGGUAGCCGGCCUGAGAGGGUGACCGGCCACAUUGCGACUGAGAUACGGCCCAGACUCCUACGGGAGGCAGCAGUGGGGAAUAUUGCACAAUGGGCGGAAGCCUGAUGCAGCAACGCCGCGUGCGGGAUGACGGCCUUCGGGUUGUAAACCGCUUUCGCCUGUGACGAAGCGUGAGUGACGGUAAUGGGUAAAGAAGCACCGGCUAACUACGUG
RNAcentral lists this ribosomal RNA (468 nucleotides) under uncultured bacterium. RNAcentral's name for it is "partial 16S ribosomal RNA". It matches the Rfam family "Bacterial small subunit ribosomal RNA", at positions 28 to 507 of the family's 1533-position model. The record is from RNAcentral.